GAUGAAGAACGCAGCGAAAUGCGAUACUUGGUGUGAAUUGCAGAAUCCCGUGAACCAUCGAGUCUUUGAACGCAAGUUGCGCCCGAAGCCAUUAGGCCGAGGGCACGCCUGCCUGGGCGUCACACGUCGUUGCCCCCCCAUCUACUCCUUCGGGAUUGCGGGGGGUGGAUGAUGGCCUCCCGUGCGCCUCGCCGCGCGGUUGGCAUAAAUGCCAAGUCCUCGGCGACGCACGCCACGACAAUCGGUGGUUGCGAAACCUCGGUUGCCCGUCGUGUGCGGUCGUCGCGCAUCGAGGGCUCGAAAAAAUUGUCGGGCUCCGGCUCGGCUUUCAACGCGACCCCAGGUCAGGCGGGGUUACCCGCUGAAUUUAAGCAUAUCAAUAAGCGGAGGA
Molecule: unclassified non-coding RNA, 391 nt
Filed under: soil metagenome
Description: partial contains 5.8S ribosomal RNA, internal transcribed spacer 2, and large subunit ribosomal RNA
Rfam family: 5.8S ribosomal RNA (bases 1-122)
Source: RNAcentral